AAACGACUCUCGGCAACGGAUAUCUCGGCUCUUGCAUCGAUGAAGAACGUAGCGAAAUGCGAUACUUGGUGUGAAUUGCAGAAUCCCGUGAACCAUCGAGUCUUUGAACGCAAGUUGCGCCUGAAGCCAUUAGGCCAAGGGCACGCCUGCCUGGGCGUCACA
Molecule: ribosomal RNA, 162 nt
Filed under: Swartzia cuspidata
Lineage: Eukaryota; Viridiplantae; Streptophyta; Magnoliopsida; Fabales; Fabaceae
Description: 5.8S ribosomal RNA
Rfam family: 5.8S ribosomal RNA
About the family: 5.8S ribosomal RNA (5.8S rRNA) is a component of the large subunit of the eukaryotic ribosome.
Source: RNAcentral